AGGUACAUUGGUGGCCACCGGUGGCGCCAUGGAUCAAAGUGAAUACUGAUGGUUCAGCGACGGGAACUCCGGGCACUAUUGCUGCAGGUGGGGUGUUUAGAGAUAACUGGAAUGUGGUGCGUGGUUGUUUUCACUUCAAAGGUGGCUCGGGUUUUGCCUUUGAAGCAGAGCUACUGGCAGUUAUCUCGGCGAUUCAAAUUGCUCACAAUCGUGGAUGGCAC
This 221-nucleotide long non-coding RNA is filed under the name Salvia miltiorrhiza (redroot sage). Its description in RNAcentral is "long non-coding RNA (SMIL_LNC003490)". Lineage: Eukaryota; Viridiplantae; Streptophyta; Magnoliopsida; Lamiales; Lamiaceae. The record is from RNAcentral.